RNAcentral lists this ribosomal RNA (437 nucleotides) under uncultured bacterium. Its description in RNAcentral is "partial 16S ribosomal RNA". It matches the Rfam family "Bacterial small subunit ribosomal RNA", at positions 341 to 792 of the family's 1533-position model. The record is from RNAcentral.
ACGGGAGGCAGCAGUGGGGAAUAUUGGGCAAUGGGCGAAAGCCUGACCCAGCAACGCCGCGUGAGGGAAGAAGGUUUUCGGAUUGUAAACCUCUGUUCUAGGUGACGAAAUGAAUGACGGUAGCCAAGGAGGAAGCCCCGGCUAACUACGUGCCAGCAGCCGCGAUAAUACGUAGGGGGCGAGCGUUGUCCGGAAUGACUGGGCGUAAAGGGCGCGUAGGCGGCUUUUUAAGUUAGGAGUGAAAGUCCUGCUUUCAAGGUGGGAAUUGCUUUUAAUACUGGAGAGCUUGAGUGCAGAAGAGGUAAGCGGAAUUCCCAGUGUAGCGGUGAAAUGCGUAGAGAUUGGGAAGAACACCAGUGGCGAAGGCGGCUUACUGGGCUGUAACUGACACUGAGGCGCGAAAGCGUGGGGAGCGAACAGGAUUAGAUACCCUGGUA